GUACGCAUACCGAAGUGGUUAACGGCUUAGACUGCAAAUCUAUUGUUCGUGAGUUCAAAUCUCACUGUGUACU
Molecule: transfer RNA, 73 nt
Filed under: Streptococcus parauberis
Lineage: Bacteria; Bacillati; Bacillota; Bacilli; Lactobacillales; Streptococcaceae
Also listed under: 1 other name
Description: tRNA-Cys
Rfam family: tRNA
About the family: Transfer RNA (tRNA) molecules are approximately 80 nucleotides in length. Their secondary structure includes four short double-helical elements and three loops (D, anti-codon, and T loops).
Source: RNAcentral